AGGGUAAUAUUUAUUCAUAAUAUCUAAUUUGCACUUAGAAAGUGCCUAGGGGCUUACCUUA
Molecule: transfer RNA, 61 nt
Filed under: Coraebus cloueti
Lineage: Eukaryota; Metazoa; Arthropoda; Insecta; Coleoptera; Buprestidae
Description: tRNA-Ala
Source: RNAcentral